RNAcentral lists this ribosomal RNA (239 nucleotides) under uncultured bacterium. RNAcentral's name for it is "partial 16S ribosomal RNA". It matches the Rfam family "Bacterial small subunit ribosomal RNA", at positions 116 to 354 of the family's 1533-position model. The record is from RNAcentral.
CGUGAGUAACCUGCCUUGGAGUGGGGAAUAACACAUCGAAAGAUGUGCUAAUACCGCAUAAUGCAGUUGGGCCGCAUGGCUCUGACUGCCAAAGAUUUAUCGCUCUGAGAUGGACUCGCGUCUGAUUAGCUGGUUGGCGGGGUAACGGCCCACCAAGGCGACGAUCGGUAGCCGGACUGAGAGGUUGACCGGCCACAUUGGGACUGAGACACGGCCCAGACUCCUACGGGAGGCAGCAG